Chelonoidis abingdonii (Abingdon island giant tortoise) is the source of this 178-nucleotide unclassified non-coding RNA. The record is from Ensembl. NCBI's taxonomy places the organism in Eukaryota, Metazoa, Chordata, Testudines, Testudinidae.
UGAAAGGAGUCAGACACUGAAGUUUUCUGUAGAUCCACAGAAAAUGUCCAUCAGAGGCAGCAUUAAUGCAAGUUUCUCUAUAAUGUCCUAUGAAUAGGAUUAAACCCUUACCUGGAGGGACCAUCUCCAGGGAUGAGAGGGCAGUUCAGUGACUAUCACCUUUUAGUCCUUGUCUCUC